UCCCUUGUCGUCUGUCAUCAAGAAUGAGAACUUGUAACAGUGUUUUUGAAUGAGAAAGGUGGUAGAGCUCAGCUCGAAAGUGGCAUCCCGAUGCUAUUACCUUACCCCCUUUUUAUAGAGAAGAUAGUUGUAACCGUCGGAUAUGGUCUCGCAUUUUGUGGCAUAGAAUCAUUGGGCUGUAAUCUCGUGGUGGGUUAUUAAUUUCCAUGAAUUACGCCACGAUCUUUGAAGGAUAACUGUCCAGGAUGGUUAUGAUAAGUUGAGUGAAUCAGCCGACU
RNAcentral lists this long non-coding RNA (278 nucleotides) under Elaeis guineensis (African oil palm). RNAcentral describes it as "long non-coding RNA (EGUI_LNC030829)". Lineage: Eukaryota; Viridiplantae; Streptophyta; Magnoliopsida; Arecales; Arecaceae. The record is from RNAcentral.